GGUUGGGGUUAGUGGACAGAAGAACCAACAGAACAGGAUAGAGUGAUAGAACAUCAGAGUGUGCCAGACUAGUUCAGAUCAGGAACUGCCAUCAUCAGCUUCACGACACCUGAAACAGAGCAGAGAGAGAAGGAUGAGGAGAAGGCACUGACUGCAGAAAAACAUGAUACAGUAUUAUCAAGUCAGCCUGCCUUAGCCUUGGGCCUCACUCCCAGUGGCCUAGUCAACACUCAGUAUACAGUAUACAAUAAUAAUCACUGGUAAUAAAUAAUGAAUGUUGCUGUUCAUCAUCUGCAACAAACCAGCAACCUUUUAUUCAACCAGGUUCUGGCAAUGAUGCACAAAAUAUUUGGUCAUCUGAAGCCACUUGCUGAGGUGUGGGGUUCCGAUCCAAACUUGCAGCUUCUGCAGACUAAUUCUGACAGUGAAAGUUCAUGCAGGCGUCAGGACUUGGUAAUGUCUGCUGCUAAGGAGCUUCACCAGGCGUGGGUACGGAGUCUUCACUGGCAGCUGCAGCUGCAGAGCAGGUUGGAGAUUCUUCUGGACUGGUCCGUUUGUCUUCAGGAGAAUGGAGGAGUUCUUGGAGAAAUGCCACUGCCGGGGUCUGACGGAAGCGUGCCAGCUCUACUGGGCAUGGAGUACCCUGACCCGAUGGGUUCUGGUCUAGGUGUACAAGUGCUGGGUUGUCAAGCUGACUGGUCUGGCAAAACAGUACCACUAGCAGGCACCAUGGAGGACCCUGAUGGAAAAGGCUUAGUGGCGAUUCGUUAUGGUUCCCAAACCAUUGACCCAGUGACAGGCCUUUUGAGUACUGUGGUUGGAGCAAGACUGGAUCCCAUCAAAAAACACACAGUUCCCAUUACAGCUUCCUACUGGCUAAUGGAGACAGGUCAGAGCAGCAGUUUACAGGUAGAGGCACUGCAGAGAGAAGUUUGUUUACGCAACACUUAUUGGCAACAGCAAAAGCAACGGGAGGAGGAUAUUCUGAGUGAUGUGGACUCGUCUCUACACCAAUGUCUCCUUCGGUUAGCAGAAACGAACUUAGCCCAGGUCAGCCUAAUGAAGUCUGUAUUGGAUGUAAAUACUGUAUCUUAUGUUGUUCCUUCAGUAAUCGCUGAACUGAAUGUAUGCUGGUGCAAUCAUGUGGCGUUUAUUGCCAGUAAUCAAAUGCAGGCCCCGUCUUCAAUGUUUAAAGUGUGACGCUGUGCUCUGCAGGAGCAAACAAGGGCUGCAAUCCCGAGAGGAAGACAGCAGCAUAAAGUGGUGAAGAUGGACCAUCCGAGGUGGGAUGGGGCAACUGCACGAGUCUGACCUGCUUCCAUAGUGUCACUGAGUCCUGUUUCAAGUGAAGUCUGGCUUUUGGGGCUGUGACGGGGUCCAGUGGAUAAUGGGUGUUAUGACCCUCACUUUUAUUUUUCAGGGGUGUGGUUUCAGUGUGUCUAACAACUGGAGGAGUUUCCAACUUCAUGGGAAGUCAUUGUAUUUUGUUCCUUUUUUUGACACUAUGCUAUCUUUUAUAUGAAUUGUAUUUAAAUGUUAAAACUGGUGAGGUUUAUAAUAAAAAAACAGGAGAAGAAAAU
Gouania willdenowi (blunt-snouted clingfish) is the source of this 1580-nucleotide long non-coding RNA. NCBI's taxonomy places the organism in Eukaryota, Metazoa, Chordata, Actinopteri, Blenniiformes, Gobiesocidae. The record is from Ensembl.